This 303-nucleotide long non-coding RNA is filed under the name Androctonus crassicauda. Lineage: Eukaryota; Metazoa; Arthropoda; Arachnida; Scorpiones; Buthidae. The record is from RNAcentral.
AAUUACCUGCAAUUCUUAGAACCUCCAAUCUGCGAUAAUGAAAUUUGUUUUCUUCUUGCUGUUGGCCAUGGCUGUCUUCAUGUGCUAUGCAGAUAAUAGCGAUGCGAAUAGUGAUAAUGAGAGUGAUAGAAGUGAGAGCGAAGAAAGCAGUAGAAGUGGAAGCGAGAGUUACGAAAGGGAUAGUGACGAAGACAGCGAUGAACGCAAACGUUAAUGAAUGUUCGAAAAAAUCGAAAAUAGCCUGUGUUCAUCUCCCUGAUGUACAUUGGAUAAACAUGGAAAAUAAAAUUUUUUAAAAGCAGA